ACGAACUGCGCGAACGUUAUUCGGAAUCACUGGGCUUAAAGGGUGCGUAGGCGGCCUGUUAAGUAGGGUGUGAAAUUUGUCGGCUCAACCGGCAAACUGCAUUCUAAACUGGCAGGCUUGAGUGAGUCAGGGGUGUGCGGAACUUCCGGUGGAGCGGUGAAAUGCGUUGAUAUCGGAAGGAACGCCGGUGGCGAAAGCGGCACACUGGGGCUUUUCUGACGCUGAGGCACGAAAGCCAGGGGAGCGAACAGG
Molecule: ribosomal RNA, 252 nt
Filed under: uncultured bacterium
Lineage: Bacteria
Description: partial 16S ribosomal RNA
Rfam family: Bacterial small subunit ribosomal RNA
Source: RNAcentral